AUUGAACGCUGGCGGAAUGCUUUACACAUGCAAGUCGAACGGUAGAGGGGGCAACCCCUCGAGAGUGGCGAACGGGUGAGUAAUAUAUCGGAACGUGCCCAGUCGUGGGGGAUAACGUAGCGAAAGUUACGCUAAUACCGCAUACGAUCUAAGGAUGAAAGCGGGGGAUCGCAAGACCUCGCGCGAUUGGAGCGGCCGAUAUCAGAUUAGGUAGUUGGUGGGGUAAAGGCUCACCAAGCCAACGAUCUGUAGCUGGUCUGAGAGGACGACCAGCCGCACUGGAACCGGGACACGGUCCAACCUCCUACGGGAGGCAGCAGUGGGGAAUGUUGGACAAUGGGCGCAAGUCUUAUCCAGCCAUUCCGCGUGCAGGAUGAAGGCCCUCGGGUUGUAAACUGCUUUUGUACGGAACGAAAAGGUCUCUCUUAAUACGGGGGGCUCAUGACGGUACCGUAAGAAUAAGCACCGGCUAACUACGUGCCAGCCGCCGCGGUAA
RNAcentral lists this ribosomal RNA (496 nucleotides) under uncultured bacterium. RNAcentral describes it as "partial 16S ribosomal RNA". It matches the Rfam family "Bacterial small subunit ribosomal RNA", at positions 30 to 523 of the family's 1533-position model. The record is from RNAcentral.